This 1557-nucleotide ribosomal RNA is filed under the name Enterococcus faecium. RNAcentral's name for it is "bacterial SSU rRNA". It matches the Rfam family "Bacterial small subunit ribosomal RNA". Lineage: Bacteria; Bacillati; Bacillota; Bacilli; Lactobacillales; Enterococcaceae. The record is from RNAcentral.
UUAUGAGAGUUUGAUCCUGGCUCAGGACGAACGCUGGCGGCGUGCCUAAUACAUGCAAGUCGAACGCUUCUUUUUCCACCGGAGCUUGCUCCACCGGAAAAAGAGGAGUGGCGAACGGGUGAGUAACACGUGGGUAACCUGCCCAUCAGAAGGGGAUAACACUUGGAAACAGGUGCUAAUACCGUAUAACAAUCAAAACCGCAUGGUUUUGAUUUGAAAGGCGCUUUCGGGUGUCGCUGAUGGAUGGACCCGCGGUGCAUUAGCUAGUUGGUGAGGUAACGGCUCACCAAGGCCACGAUGCAUAGCCGACCUGAGAGGGUGAUCGGCCACAUUGGGACUGAGACACGGCCCAAACUCCUACGGGAGGCAGCAGUAGGGAAUCUUCGGCAAUGGACGAAAGUCUGACCGAGCAACGCCGCGUGAGUGAAGAAGGUUUUCGGAUCGUAAAACUCUGUUGUUAGAGAAGAACAAGGAUGAGAGUAACUGUUCAUCCCUUGACGGUAUCUAACCAGAAAGCCACGGCUAACUACGUGCCAGCAGCCGCGGUAAUACGUAGGUGGCAAGCGUUGUCCGGAUUUAUUGGGCGUAAAGCGAGCGCAGGCGGGGUAGUCGAGGAGAGAAUCCUAAGGUGAGCGAGAGAACUCUCGUUAAGGAAAACUGGGAGACUUGAGUGCAGAAGAGGAGAGUGGAAUUCCAUGUGUAGCGGUGAAAUGCGUAGAUAUAUGGAGGAACACCAGUGGCGAAGGCGGCUCUCUGGUCUGUAACUGACGCUGAGGCUCGAAAGCGUGGGGAGCAAACAGGAUUAGAUACCCUGGUAGUCCACGCCGUAAACGAUGAGUGCUAAGUGUUGGAGGGUUUCCGCCCUUCAGUGCUGCAGCUAACGCAUUAAGCACUCCGCCUGGGGAGUACGACCGCAAGGUUGAAACUCAAAGGAAUUGACGGGGGCCCGCACAAGCGGUGGAGCAUGUGGUUUAAUUCGAAGCAACGCGAAGAACCUUACCAGGUCUUGACAUCCUUUGACCACUCUAGAGAUAGAGCUUCCCCUUCGGGGGCAAAGUGACAGGUGGUGCAUGGUUGUCGUCAGCUCGUGUCGUGAGAUGUUGGGUUAAGUCCCGCAACGAGCGCAACCCUUAUUGUUAGUUGCCAUCAUUCAGUUGGGCACUCUAGCAAGACUGCCGGUGACAAACCGGAGGAAGGUGGGGAUGACGUCAAAUCAUCAUGCCCCUUAUGACCUGGGCUACACACGUGCUACAAUGGGAAGUACAACGAGUUGCGAAGUCGCGAGGCUAAGCUAAUCUCUUAAAGCUUCUCUCAGUUCGGAUUGCAGGCUGCAACUCGCCUGCAUGAAGCCGGAAUCGCUAGUAAUCGCGGAUCAGCACGCCGCGGUGAAUACGUUCCCGGGCCUUGUACACACCGCCCGUCACACCACGAGAGUUUGUAACACCCGAAGUCGGUGAGGUAACCUUUUGGAGCCAGCCGCCUAAGGUGGGAUAGAUGAUUGGGGUGAAGUCGUAACAAGGUAGCCGUAUCGGAAGGUGCGGCUGGAUCACCUCCUUU